RNAcentral lists this transfer RNA (74 nucleotides) under Girella punctata (largescale blackfish). RNAcentral describes it as "tRNA-Val". It matches the Rfam family "tRNA". Rfam says of the family: Transfer RNA (tRNA) molecules are approximately 80 nucleotides in length. Lineage: Eukaryota; Metazoa; Chordata; Actinopteri; Centrarchiformes; Girellidae. RNAcentral also lists the same sequence under 1 other name. The record is from RNAcentral.
CAGAGUAUAGCUCAACACAGCUAAAGCGCCUCCCUUACACUGAGAAGAUACCUGUGCAAAUCGGGUUACCCUGA